UCAGUCCGAUACGGCUACCCGAGUCAACGCCUCGCUUCAGUUCGUCGUCCUAGCUCCAAGUCAGUCCCUGCCUAAGUUUCUCGCUUUGUUACUUUCCUCAGAACCCCGAUUUAGCACUUCCCAUAAGCUACGGAUCAAUUCCCCGCCUAACUAUCCCGCCUCGAUUCCUUUCCUCAAUUUUCUCGCCUAAGCUUCCUCCAAAGCUCCCCGCCUCAGCACUCCGUAUCACCAUGACACUUCGCCUUUCACCUAUCCUACUGUUUACCCUCUGUGCUGCGGCACAAACCUAUGAUUGUCCCGAUGGCUGGACAGGCGUCAACGCACUCUGUUAUAGGAGUCUUCCAGGGCCGGCGGAUCAACCCACAGCACAAGCUAUGUGUCAAGAGGAGGACGCAGCAGCCGUGCUGCCAUCUAUACACGACCUGGCAACCAAUAGUAUCCUGCUGGGCCUCUCUGGCAAUCUGCCCUUCUGGACGGGACUGACCAAUGCUACUGGUGGCGGCCAGGGACAGUGGAGCUGGCAGGACGGCUCUGCCACCGAUUUCUCCAACUGGGCUCCGGGUAUGCCGGUUCUGGAUAACGGCAGAAAGGGCUGUGUGUGGGUUUAUGAGGGCGAUGGUACGUGGAGUAACGCCCAGUGUAACCUCCUGCUUGGGGAUGUGAUGUGCCAGCUCUGAGCCGGUGGUGUGACGUGACGUCACGUGUCGUGACGUCAUAUGAUAUGACGUCACAUGCUAUGACGUCAUAUGGUGUGGUAUAUGCUCUGACGUCACAUGUUAUGACAUCAUAUGCUGUGGUAUCAUGUGAUGCAACGCCAUAUGAAAUAAAGUCUUAUGGUUUGACGUCAUUUGGGGUAACGUGCGUCAACUCUUACGGACAGCACAAAUGCGUCCUAAUUCUUCUCCAAGUCGUGUAAAAAAAAAAAACAGGAUUUCGUCCUGGGUGUCAUGCAUUGUGUCGUCGUAUGGCAGCACUGACGUGAUGACGUAACAUGUUGUGACGUCAUGAAUGAUGGAGGUGUUGCGGAAAUGAUAUUUGUGGUUUGAUUAGGUAUGUGAAAGGUAAAAAAAGCUGUUUGGGUGAAGUAAAUACAGUGGAUGUGGUCAAUAGCUCACAAAAAUAAA
RNAcentral lists this long non-coding RNA (1124 nucleotides) under Amphibalanus amphitrite. RNAcentral describes it as "uncharacterized LOC122376083". Lineage: Eukaryota; Metazoa; Arthropoda; Thecostraca; Balanomorpha; Balanidae. The record is from RNAcentral.